This is a non-coding RNA of Acanthosepion pharaonis, 89 nucleotides long. NCBI's taxonomy places the organism in Eukaryota, Metazoa, Mollusca, Cephalopoda, Sepiida, Sepiidae. The record is from the annotation of a GenBank genome assembly.
AUGGCCAUGUCAUUUUGAAACACCAGUUCUCAUACGAUCACCAAAGUUAAGCAAUGUCGAGCCUGUUCAGUACCUAGAUGGGUGACCGC